AGCAGCCGCGGUAAUUCCAGCUCCAAUAGCGUAUAUUAAAGUUGUUGCAGUUAAAAAGCUCGUAGUUGAAUUUCGGGAUCAAUAUGUCGGUCGUGCCUUCGGUACGUACUGGUAUCAUUGGUCUCUCCUUUCUGACGAACCAUGAUGUCAUUAAUUUGGUGUUAUGGGGAGUUAGGACUGUUACUUUGAAAAAUUAGAGUGUUUAAAGCAGGCUUUAGCUUGAAUACAUUAGCAUGGAAUAAUGAAAUAGGACGUUCGAACCUAUUUUGUUGGUUUCUAGGAUCAACGUAAUGAUUAAUAGGGAUAGUUGGGGGCAUUAGUAUUCAAUUGUCAGAGGUGAAAUUCUUGGAUUUAUUGAAGACUAACUACUGCGAAAGCAUUUGCCAAGGAUGUUUUCAUUAAUCAAGAACGAAAGUUAGGGGAUCGAAGACGAUCAGAUACCGUCGUAGUCUUAACCAUAAACUAUGCCGACUAGGGAUCGGAUGAUGUUAAUUUUUAAUGUACU
RNAcentral lists this ribosomal RNA (505 nucleotides) under uncultured Glomus. RNAcentral's name for it is "SSU rRNA". It matches the Rfam family "Eukaryotic small subunit ribosomal RNA", at positions 569 to 1078 of the family's 1831-position model. The record is from RNAcentral. Lineage: Eukaryota; Fungi; Glomeromycota; Glomeromycetes; Glomerales; Glomeraceae.